RNAcentral lists this transfer RNA (64 nucleotides) under Ptiliidae sp. BMNH 1274723. RNAcentral's name for it is "tRNA-Tyr". Lineage: Eukaryota; Metazoa; Arthropoda; Insecta; Coleoptera; Ptiliidae. The record is from RNAcentral.
GGUGAAAUGGCCGAGAUUAGGCAAUAAAUUGUAAAUUUAUUUACGGAAUUUCUCCUUUCACCAG